UACGUAGGGUGCAAGCGUUGUCCGGAAUUAUUGGGCGUAAAGAGCUCGUAGGCGGUCUGUCGCGUCUGCUGUGAAAACUCAGGGCUUAACCCUGAGCUUGCAGUGGGUACGGGCAGACUAGAGUGCGGUAGGGGAGACUGGAAUUCCUGGUGUAGCGGUGAAAUGCGCAGAUAUCAGGAGGAACACCGGUGGCGAAGGCGGGUCACUGGACCGGUACUGACGCUGAGGCGCGAAAGCGUGGGUAGCAAACAGG
RNAcentral lists this ribosomal RNA (253 nucleotides) under uncultured bacterium. Its description in RNAcentral is "partial 16S ribosomal RNA". It matches the Rfam family "Bacterial small subunit ribosomal RNA", at positions 524 to 776 of the family's 1533-position model. The record is from RNAcentral.